RNAcentral lists this ribosomal RNA (251 nucleotides) under uncultured bacterium. RNAcentral describes it as "partial 16S ribosomal RNA". It matches the Rfam family "Bacterial small subunit ribosomal RNA", at positions 335 to 604 of the family's 1533-position model. The record is from RNAcentral.
UACCUACGGGGGGCAGCAGUGGGGAAUAUUGCACAAUGGGGGAAACCCUGAUGCAGCAACGCCGCGUGAGUGAAGAAGUAUUUCGGUAUGUAAAGCUCUAUCAGCAGGGAAGAAGAUGACGGUACCUGAUUAAGAAGCCCCGGCUAACUACGUGCCAGCAGCCGCGGUAAUACGUAGGGGGCAAGCGUUAUCCGGAUUUACUGGGUGUAAAGGGAGCGCAGACGGCAGUGCAAGUCUGGAGUGAAAGCCCG